AAGAAGAAGAAGAAGAAGAAGAAGAAGAAGAAGAAGAAGAAGAAGAAGAAGAAGACGACAACGACCUAGGCGUUAUACACUUGAAAGUGGUAUUUUAAAUGAGGCUCUUUCUCCGAACCAGUUGUCUGGAGGUGAACCCAGAAGUCAUCAGCCAAGAUUCAGAAAGCACCCGAUGAACAGAGCUUGGGUUUGGAAAUCAGUGCAUGGAAGACAGGCACCAGCUGAUUCUCGUUUUGGAACAUCAGCAAGACAGAAGCACCUCCCAUGCUUUGUUGAUGGUAUAGGUAGAGAUUUGUUUGCUAAAGCUCUCAGCACAUCCUUAGCCAAUGCAUUCCUUAAUAAUGAUAAGGUUAUGAUAUGCAAGGCAUUGUGCUAAAAGAUAAGAUAUUAGGUCGGCUUGUGGAACACACCCAUAAUCCCAGCACUCUAAGAGGAGAAACGGAAGGAUUGCAAAUUUGAGGUCAAUUCCGGCUACAUAGCAAAUUCCAGGUCGUUCUGGGUGACCUGAUUAGACCCAGUCAAGAACAACAACUCAAAAGAUAUGAUCUCAUUCCUCAAAGAGUUGAGACGGGAGGAAAUGAUCUGAUGAGCUUUCAGUCUUGCUCCAUUCGAGCCUUGCUCAGGGGACAUUUGUAGAGAGCCUUUGUUCCCAUAGAAAUGUAUAUGGAAAUAUCAAGGUUGAUGUUGGAUGGUUUGACAGAGAAACCACACUGGGGAAAUGGAGCGCUUUGAAAUCAGGUCACCUAGAAAAAAAAAUUCUACAAAGUCAAAGCUGAAAUGAAGCUAGCAGUUUUUAGGCCCUUCUCACAGUCUGACUUACUGAAUUCUCUUCCCACCUUAAAAAAAAAAAACAACUAAGAAAAGCACUUCUUUCUGUAUAUAUCUCUUUAAAGUUUGUUUGAGUAUCUUACUAUUUUUUGUAGUGCACACAUAGAUCUCAAGUUUUAAGUGGCCUUUUUAUAACUGCAGCUGGAAGAGAGAGAGAGAAAAAAAGCCACCAGCAGCUCGGUGUGUUAGUGCCAAAUCUGGUUCUUUUAAAUGCCAUGGCUCUCAUCCAGCAGGAGACACCACUGUACAGUGGAGCUAAGCAGGAAAAAGAUGGAGAAAAUGCCUAAUUAUUAGCUUGUGUUAAAGAUAAACCUGUUUCAAGUAGAUCCUUCUUGAUUCAGAAGAAAGGCUUCCCAUUGUUCCCUAAGUCAUGUUCAUCUCCCUGCCGUGCCUUCGACCGAAUGUGCUCACGGUUUUAAAGGUCAGCCGCCAACAACCCAUAUUACGCUUAAGCACAUCUGAAGGGAGUUGAGUUAGCAUGCCCUUUGCAUAUUUUUGCCAAAAGUAACCCGUAUGAUUGAAAUCCCUCUUUUCCAAUUUUAUGGAGUACAAAACACACAUGGUUAAGAAAUUACACCAAGUGCCACCAGUGUAAACAACAGAAAAAGAAAAUGGAAUAAGAAAAGCUUAUUCUGCCUGUAUCAUGCUGCCAUCAAGAUGCAUGGAAUUGACAUUCACCUGCCGAUGUCCUUAAGUAUUCAGAACUUUCCCUAGUGCUAUCAUUUUUAAGACACUUGGCACAGUGGUGAGCAUGCAGUUUCUCAUUUAGAAUCUGCAUCUCAGCCCACACCAAAUCAUCUUGUACCUGUUCAGGUUCUUUGCUCUGUGUGAGAUUGUAUUUCCUGAUUUAAAAAAAAUAAAAAUAAAGUGUGCAUGUUGA
This is a long non-coding RNA of Mus musculus (house mouse), 1708 nucleotides long. RefSeq annotates it as predicted gene 43699. The transcript has 2 exons. NCBI's taxonomy places the organism in Eukaryota, Metazoa, Chordata, Mammalia, Rodentia, Muridae. The record is from RefSeq and is a predicted model, not a curated record.